This 253-nucleotide ribosomal RNA is filed under the name uncultured bacterium. Its description in RNAcentral is "partial 16S ribosomal RNA". It matches the Rfam family "Bacterial small subunit ribosomal RNA", at positions 524 to 776 of the family's 1533-position model. The record is from RNAcentral.
UACGUAGGUGGCAAGCGUUGUCCGGAUUUACUGGGCGUAAAGAGCGCGCAGGCGGUCGUCCAAGUCGCGUGUGAAAGCCCCCGGCUCAACUGGGGAGGGUCACGCGAUACUGAUCGACUCGAAGGCAGGAGAGGGAAGUGGAAUUCCCGGUGUAGUGGUGAAAUGCGUAGAUAUGGGGAGGAGCACCAGUGGCGAAGGCGACUUCCUGGCCUGUUCUUGACGCUGAGGCGCGAAAGCUAGGGGAGCAAACGGG